CACUUUCGAGGUCGAGAAUGUAUCUUCUUCCAGAAUCAUAAACUGAGUAAAUAUAGGUAAAGGAAGCCUUGACCUGAAUAAAAAAAGAUUCAGUUUUUUUUUGUAACUAGAUGCUUCCAACGUCCAUUUACAAUCCUCAUUGCAACAUCGGAGGACAUAGCUGAAAUAGACAAUCAUAAUGUGAUUAGUAGUAAUAACAAUUUAUAAAUUUUUUUCAUUUUGGGUGUUACAAAUCAAUUAUACAGAGAGAAAAAUUCAUAUACAACAUAAGAUAUAAAAUAUACAUUACAACUCAAUAAAGUAUAUAUGUUUCUUCCUGUUAAUCAAUUUGUGAAUACAAAUAACACAAUACCAAAAUGUUAUUCUACACAUAUACAAAACACAGUGAAUGUACAUGUGAAUAAUAGACAACAUUGCUAUAUAUAUAACAUAAACUUGUUCCCCUGCAAUUUAUAAAUUUAGGACAUCAAUUAAUCCAAUUUGAAAAAAAACAGACAAUUUUAUGUGCUCAACUUGAAAACAUUCUCCGCAAAAUGAAAUUUAAUGUCAUACUAAUAUUCACGCAAAUUUAAGUAAACAAAUUUCGUAACAGAACUAAAAAUAAUACCUUUUUUUAUCUGAAAAAAUUAUUUUUGUUAAAAACAAUACCUCUCUUUGUCUGAAAAAAUUGACGAAACCAAUCUAAAAAAAAGUCAUUGACCCCGCGACAACAAUCCCUUCACUUUUGUAUUUAACAUAAUCUGUUUCCGUUCUCCAUUCACAAAAGUGACAACAAUCUGUUUCCGUCGAAAACAUAAUGUACAUCAAUAGUUUUUCGAGCUUCGUCAAUGUUUAAUUUGACAACAAUUGACGAAAUCAACCUCGAAUACGUUGUUGAUUCCACGACAAUGAUUCCUUCAUUUUUAUACUUAACAUAUUCUAUUUUGGUUCGCCAUUCACCAGAGUACCUCAAAAGAAU
This 958-nucleotide long non-coding RNA is filed under the name Capsicum annuum. RNAcentral's name for it is "long non-coding RNA (CANN_LNC019752)". Lineage: Eukaryota; Viridiplantae; Streptophyta; Magnoliopsida; Solanales; Solanaceae. The record is from RNAcentral.